UACGUAGGGGGCAAGCGUUGUCCGGAUUUACUGGGCGUAAAGAGCGUGUAGGCGGCCAAACAGGUCCGUUGUGAAAACUGGAGGCUCAACCUUCAGAGGUCGACCGAAACCAUCUGGCUAGAGUCCGGGAGAGGAGAGUGGAAUUCCUGGUGUAGCGGUGAAAUGCGCAGAUAUCAGGAAGAACACCGGUGGCGAAGGCGGGUCUCUGGGCCGAUACUGACGCUGAGGAGCGAAAGCGUGGGGAGCGAACAGG
This 253-nucleotide ribosomal RNA is filed under the name uncultured bacterium. Its description in RNAcentral is "partial 16S ribosomal RNA". It matches the Rfam family "Bacterial small subunit ribosomal RNA", at positions 524 to 776 of the family's 1533-position model. The record is from RNAcentral.